This 1314-nucleotide long non-coding RNA is filed under the name Sus scrofa (pig). RNAcentral's name for it is "lncRNA (ENSSSCG00015072884.1)". The record is from RNAcentral. Lineage: Eukaryota; Metazoa; Chordata; Mammalia; Artiodactyla; Suidae.
AUAUUUGUGGCAGAUAUCUUUUUUUGCUUUAUUUUUAAGAAAAUGAAGUUUUACCUGUAUUGCUGAGCCUUUAUCUAGUAAGCCUUAUCUCUUUAACGAUGUAGUCAUGGGAAUGAAAUUUUGUUAAUAAAAGUUUUCAGUAUUUUAAAUUCUUUCACACAUACACUUUUUGUUUGCAAAAUACUGAUUUGAUAAAAAUCUUUUUUAUUAAAUAAGUUGUGUGGACUAGUUGUCAAAAACAGAUUAUUACUAAUAUUGGUAAAAGGAAGGUGACAUGAUAAGUAUUUUUCUAGAACUGAAGAUCAUAUGGAGGUUCCCAGGCUAGGGGUCUAAUUGGAGCUCUAGCCACUGGCCUACAACACAGCCACAUCAAUGCCAGAUCCGAGCUGAGUCUGCAGUCUACACCACAGCUCAGCAGCGCCAGAUCCUUAACCCACUGAGCGAGGCCAGGGAUUGAACCCUCAAGCUCAUGGUUCCUAGUUGGAUUCAUUUCCGCUGUGCCACGAUGGGAACUCCUCCUAAAUCUUUUUGAAAUCAUUUUUUAAGACAGUCUUAAAACAGAGCGAAAAACUAUUUCAAAACAGAUUUAAUUCAAUUCAGCAAUUUAAUUCAACAAUUUUUACUUUUUAAAUUGUCAGACUAACUUAAUAUUAGGAAAAGUUUAAAAGGAAUAAUUAUCCAUAAUCCCCACCAUUAUAGCGUUAUUAUUUUUAUACAUUGGCCAAGUUUAAAUACAUAUUUUAAGAUAGUUAUGAAUGGGGACAUUUUAUUUUAUAGGUUUUUAGAAUGUAUUACUUUUUAAAAAAUACAGGUUUGUAAUGUUACUUAGUAACAAGAUACCAUUUUACUUUGUUGUUGUACAAUAGCCUGAAAAUAGGUACAGGCUAGUGAAGCGACUCCAUCUCAUAAAGAAAUAUAGGCAUUCACUGGUCCUGGCUGUCUGUGAGCUGCUGCCAGUCCACCCUUCAGCCUGUGGGGAGGGAAGGGGAGGGGACAGAGUGGAAGCACAGGGCUUUUCACACCCAGGUGAGCAGGAAACUAGUCUGUCAGACCAGUUCUCACUAGUCACUUUGGUGAGAACUUUCAUGCUCACUUAGCUGUAUGGGAGACUGUUGGGGAGAAAUAACACAGUAGGAAUGUGCUGUACACAGCUUUGACCACGUUUUAGUUUCCUUAGGAUUUUUUUGAGGUGGGGGGGCUCCCCUGCUGCCUAUGGCAUUCCUGGGCCAGAGAUCAGAAUCUGAGCCACUGUCUUGACCUAAGCUGCAGCUGUGGCAGUGCCAGAUCCUUAACCUAGUGUGCUGGGCCAGGGAU